This 847-nucleotide ribosomal RNA is filed under the name Fusarium proliferatum. RNAcentral's name for it is "LSU rRNA". It matches the Rfam family "Eukaryotic large subunit ribosomal RNA", at positions 37 to 914 of the family's 3401-position model. The record is from RNAcentral. Lineage: Eukaryota; Fungi; Ascomycota; Sordariomycetes; Hypocreales; Nectriaceae.
AGCAUAUCAAUAAGCGGAGGAAAAGAAACCAACAGGGAUUGCCCUAGUAACGGCGAGUGAAGCGGCAACAGCUCAAAUUUGAAAUCUGGCUCUCGGGCCCGAGUUGUAAUUUGUAGAGGAUACUUUUGAUGCGGUGCCUUCCGAGUUCCCUGGAACGGGACGCCAUAGAGGGUGAGAGCCCCGUCUGGUUGGAUGCCAAAUCUCUGUAAAGUUCCUUCGACGAGUCGAGUAGUUUGGGAAUGCUGCUCUAAAUGGGAGGUAUAUGUCUUCUAAAGCUAAAUACCGGCCAGAGACCGAUAGCGCACAAGUAGAGUGAUCGAAAGAUGAAAAGCACUUUGAAAAGAGAGUUAAAAAGUACGUGAAAUUGUUGAAAGGGAAGCGUUUAUGACCAGACUUGGGCUUGGUUAAUCAUCUGGGGUUCUCCCCAGUGCACUUUUCCAGUCCAGGCCAGCAUCAGUUUUCCCCGGGGGAUAAAGACUUCGGGAAUGUGGCUCUCUUCGGGGAGUGUUAUAGCCCGUUGUGUAAUACCCUGGGGGGGACUGAGGUUCGCGCAUCUGCAAGGAUGCUGGCGUAAUGGUCAUCAACGACCCGUCUUGAAACACGGACCAAGGAGUCGUCUUCGUAUGCGAGUGUUCGGGUGUCAAACCCCUACGCGUAAUGAAAGUGAACGCAGGUGAGAGCUUCGGCGCAUCAUCGACCGAUCCUGAUGUUCUCGGAUGGAUUUGAGUAAGAGCAUACGGGGCCGGACCCGAAAGAAGGUGAACUAUGCCUGUAUAGGGUGAAGCCAGAGGAAACUCUGGUGGAGGCUCGCAGCGGUUCUGACGUGCAAAUCGAUCGUCAAAUAUGG